UUGCUUCACUUAGAGUAAGAAUAUAAGCAAAAGCUCAAUUAGUAAAAAAAAAUUCCGAGAUUGAACCAAGCGUUGGACAAGUUAAUGUGGAAGGUACAUAGAUGAUUCAUUCUCUUUUGGGCCAAUUAUUUUUCCUAAUAAAGUUUAUGGUAAAUCAUAUCAUUAAUUUAAGAAUUCAGUAUGAAAUGUAGAGUAAGAGAUGGGCAUUGCCCACUGCAUCAUGAAAUUCUCUGGAGGCCUUGCAUCAAGGCAUCUGUUUGUUCAGGCUUCCCAACCGAUACCCGAACAUAACCCUUCAGUUCUUUGUUAUUGUAGUGUCGGAUCAUCACGCCCAUACUUGCAAGAUCAUCCUUAAGUUUCUUAGCAUCUCUUCCAGAUUUAACCUCGCAAAGAAUGAAAUUAGAAUAGCUUGGAAAUGGAUUGAGAAAUGGGACUUCCAACAGAAGCUUGUAAAGCCUAUCCCGCUCUUGCAACAAUGCAUCUUUCACUUUCUCAAGGUAAGUAGGAUUCUGCAAUGCUGCACAUGCAGAAAC
RNAcentral lists this unclassified non-coding RNA (533 nucleotides) under Hevea brasiliensis (rubber tree). Lineage: Eukaryota; Viridiplantae; Streptophyta; Magnoliopsida; Malpighiales; Euphorbiaceae. The record is from RNAcentral.